This 72-nucleotide transfer RNA is filed under the name Penaeus vannamei (Pacific white shrimp). RNAcentral's name for it is "Litopenaeus vannamei (Pacific white shrimp) tRNA". It matches the Rfam family "tRNA". Rfam says of the family: Transfer RNA (tRNA) molecules are approximately 80 nucleotides in length. Their secondary structure includes four short double-helical elements and three loops (D, anti-codon, and T loops). Further hydrogen bonds mediate the characteristic L-shaped molecular structure. tRNAs have two regions of fundamental functional importance: the anti-codon, which is responsible for specific mRNA codon recognition, and the 3' end, to which the tRNAs corresponding amino acid is attached (by aminoacyl-tRNA synthetases). tRNAs cope with the degeneracy of the genetic code in two manners: having more than one tRNA (with a specific anti-codon) for a particular amino acid; and 'wobble' base-pairing, i.e. permitting non-standard base-pairing at the 3rd anti-codon position. The record is from Rfam by way of RNAcentral. Lineage: Eukaryota; Metazoa; Arthropoda; Malacostraca; Decapoda; Penaeidae.
GCCUCCGUGGUGCAGUGGAUAGCACAUUCGUCUGUUAGGCGAAAGACUUGGGUUCGAAUCCCAGCUGAGACG